RNAcentral lists this ribosomal RNA (465 nucleotides) under uncultured Klebsiella sp. RNAcentral's name for it is "bacterial SSU rRNA". It matches the Rfam family "Bacterial small subunit ribosomal RNA", at positions 338 to 795 of the family's 1533-position model. The record is from RNAcentral. Lineage: Bacteria; Pseudomonadati; Pseudomonadota; Gammaproteobacteria; Enterobacterales; Enterobacteriaceae.
CCUACGGGUGGCUGCAGUGGGGAAUAUUGCACAAUGGGCGCAAGCCUGAUGCAGCCAUGCCGCGUGUGUGAAGAAGGCCUUCGGGUUGUGAAGCACUUUCAGCGGGGAGGAAGGCGGUGAGGUUAAUAACCUCAUCGAUUGACGUUACCCGCAGAAGAAGCACCGGCUAACUCCGUGCCAGCAGCCGCGGUAAUACGGAGGGCGCAAGCGUUAAUCGGAAUUACUGGGCGUAAAGCGCACGCAGGCGGUCUGUCAAGUCGGAUGUGAAAUCCCCGGGCUCAACCUGGGAACUGCAUUCGAAACUGGCAGGCUAGAGUCUUGUAGAGGGGGGUAGAAUUCCAGGUGUAGCGGUGAAAUGCGUAGAGAUCUGGAGGAAUACCGGUGGCGAAGGCGGCCCCCUGGACAAAGACUGACGCUCAGGUGCGAAAGCGUGGGGAGCAAACAGGAUUAGAUACCCUUGUAGUC